GACGGAGCAGGACAUUAAGAGUUAUUACAACUCCUAAACCCAUGUGAACUUACCGUACGUUGCCUCGGCAGGUCGCGCUCACCCCGUAGCACCCUACCACGUAGGGGCCUACUCGGUGGCCGCGGACUAAGCCUGUCGGUGGCCCAACCAAACUCUGUCAGUGAUUGUGUCUUCUGAACUUGACAACGAAAUACGUUAAAACUUUCAACAACGGAUCUCUUGGUUCUGGCAUCGAUGAAGAACGCAGCGAAAUGCGAUAAGUAAUGUGAAUUGCAGAAUUCAGUGAAUCAUCGAAUCUUUGAACGCACAUUGCGCCCAUUAGUAUUCUAGUGGGCAUGCCUGUUCGAGCGUCAUUUCAACCCUUAAGCCCCUGUUGCUUAGUGUUGGGAGCCUACAGCGAUGUAGCUCCUCAAAGUUAGUGGCGGAGUCGGUUACACACUCUAGGCGCAGUAAACUCUUUAUCUCGUCUACGGUUGUGGCCGGUCCCUUGCCGUAAAACCCCCCAAUUUCUCAAGGUUGACCUCGGAUCAGGUAGGAAUACCCGCUGAACUUAAGCAUAUCAAUAGGCGG
RNAcentral lists this ribosomal RNA (570 nucleotides) under Xylaria psidii. Its description in RNAcentral is "eukaryotic LSU rRNA". The stretch from base 200 to 353 matches the Rfam family "5.8S ribosomal RNA". Lineage: Eukaryota; Fungi; Ascomycota; Sordariomycetes; Xylariales; Xylariaceae. The record is from RNAcentral.